AGCGUUGUUCGGAAUUACUGGGCGUAAAGGGUUCGUAGGUGGCCAAGUAAGUCAGACGUGAAAUCCCUCAGCUUAACUGGGGAACUGCGUCUGAGACUGGAUGGCUUGAGUGCAGGAGAGGAACGCGGAAUUCCAGGUGUAGCGGUGAAAUGCGUAGAUAUCUGGAGGAACACCGGUGGCGAAGGCGGCGUUCUGGACUGCUACUGACACUGAGGAACGAAAGCCAGGGGAGCAAACGGG
RNAcentral lists this ribosomal RNA (240 nucleotides) under uncultured bacterium. Its description in RNAcentral is "partial 16S ribosomal RNA". It matches the Rfam family "Bacterial small subunit ribosomal RNA", at positions 537 to 776 of the family's 1533-position model. The record is from RNAcentral.